CUCGCGAUAGAUCAGUUGGUAGAGCGGAGGACUGUAGAUCCUUAGGUCGGUGGUUCGAAUCCGUCUCGCGAGA
This 73-nucleotide transfer RNA is filed under the name Octopus sinensis (East Asian common octopus). Its description in RNAcentral is "tRNA-Tyr". It matches the Rfam family "tRNA". From Rfam's summary of the family: Transfer RNA (tRNA) molecules are approximately 80 nucleotides in length. Their secondary structure includes four short double-helical elements and three loops (D, anti-codon, and T loops). The record is from RNAcentral. Lineage: Eukaryota; Metazoa; Mollusca; Cephalopoda; Octopoda; Octopodidae.